UCACCAGGUCGCUGCCGCGAGGGAGUUGCUGUGCUGGGGCCUGGGUGGCGGCUGGAGGCCUGAGUUGGGCUCGCGGCGGGGGUCGGCAGGGGGCCGGGUGGCGGAAUGAUGGAGGAGGAGGAACUGGAGUUCGUGGAGGAGCUGGAAGCCGUGCUGCAGCUCACGCCCGAGGUGCAGCUGGCCAUCGAGCAGGUGUUUCCAAGCCAGGACCCUCUAGAUCGAGCAGAUUUCAAUGCUGUUGAGUAUAUCAAUACCCUGUUCCCAACCGAGCAAAGUAAGAAUCACGAGGCACGGAAAGAUAACACUCGGCUUAAAUGUGAUAGCGUUGCCAUGAAGGAAGCAUGCCAAAUACAGUGACAGCAGAACCCAGGGCCUUACUUGCUCAAGAUGGAUUGAAAAGGCUUACUCCCUUGAGGAAAUGGUGUUUUAGCUGAAUACUACAGGCCAAGUUAAUAAUUUUUUUUUGAGAUGGGGUCUCACUCUCUUGCCCGGGCUAGAGUGCAGUGGCACAAUCAUAGCUCACUGCAACCUCAAAUUCCUGGACUCAAGCACUCCUCCCACUUCAGCCUCCUCAGUAGCUAGCACUACAGGUGUGUGCCACCACACCCAGCUGAGUAUUAUUAUUAUUUUGAGAUGGAGUCUUGCUUUGUCACCAGGUUGGGGUGGGGUGGUGCCAUCUCGGCUCACUGCAACCUCCCACUCCCUGGUUCAAGCAAUUCCCCUGUCUUAGCCUCCCGAGUAGCU
RNAcentral lists this unclassified non-coding RNA (744 nucleotides) under Homo sapiens (human). RNAcentral describes it as "VPS53 subunit of GARP complex (ENSG00000283883.2)". Lineage: Eukaryota; Metazoa; Chordata; Mammalia; Primates; Hominidae. The record is from RNAcentral.